GCCAGGCGUGGUGGCACAUGCCUGUAAUCCCAGCUACUUGGGAGGCUGAAGCAGAGGAAUUGCUUGAACCUGGGAGGCAGAGGUUGCAGUGAGCCGAGAUCGCGCCGUUGCACUCCAGCCUGGGCAACAAGAGCGAGGCUCUUUUUUUUUUUUUUGAGACAGAGUCUCACUCUGUCGCCCAGGCUAGAGUGUAACGGCACGAUCUCGGUUCACUGCAACCUCCACCUCCCAAGUUCGAGCAAUUCUCCUACCUCA
This is an unclassified non-coding RNA of Pan troglodytes (chimpanzee), 255 nucleotides long. It matches the Rfam family "Metazoan signal recognition particle RNA". Rfam says of the family: The signal recognition particle (SRP) is a universally conserved ribonucleoprotein. It is involved in the co-translational targeting of proteins to membranes. NCBI's taxonomy places the organism in Eukaryota, Metazoa, Chordata, Mammalia, Primates, Hominidae. The record is from Ensembl.